This 468-nucleotide ribosomal RNA is filed under the name uncultured bacterium. RNAcentral describes it as "partial 16S ribosomal RNA". It matches the Rfam family "Bacterial small subunit ribosomal RNA", at positions 28 to 507 of the family's 1533-position model. The record is from RNAcentral.
GACGAACGCUGGCGGCGUGCUUAACACAUGCAAGUCGAACGGAAAGACCCUGCUUUUGUGGGGUGCUCGAGUGGCGAACGGGUGAGUAACACGUGAGUAACCUGCCCUUGACUUUGGGAUAACUUCAGGAAACUGGGGCUAAUACCGGAUAUGAGCUCCUGCUGCAUGGUGGGGGUUGGAAAGUUUCGGCGGUUGGGGAUGGACUCGCGGCUUAUCAGCUUGUUGGUGGGGUAGUGGCUUACCAAGGCUUUGACGGGUAGCCGGCCUGAGAGGGUGACCGGCCACAUUGGGACUGAGAUACGGCCCAGACUACUACGGGAGGCAGCAGUGGGGAAUAUUGCACAAUGGGCGGAAGCCUGAUGCAGCAACGCCGCGUGCGGGAUGACGGCAUUCGGGUUGUAAACCGCUUUCGCCUGUGACGAAGCGUGAGUGACGGUAAUGGGUAAAGAAGCACCGGCUAACUACGUG